GAAACAGUUUUGAAUGUGUGUCCCACCCCUCUGAUUAAAGCACAAUAUCAGACUGUCUGUUAGUCAGGACUGUCAAACCAACAUCACUGUUCCUUCAGUUCUCACUCAUUCACAGUAAAGAUGACAGCACACGCUCUCAUUAUCUGCUCUCUACUGCUUUUCAUUGCUGAGUGUAAUGGACAGAUCACAGUCACUCAGAGUCCCUCAACAACAGCAGCUCAACCAGGACAACAAGUUAAAAUAAACUGUAAAACCAGCAGUGAUGUGUACCGGUCCAGUAGUGUGGGAUACCUCUUGAGCUGGUACUUACAGAAACCUGGAGAAGCUCCUAAACUCCUCAUAUAUUAUACAAACCGCCUGCAGUCUGGAACUUCAUCUAGAUUCAGUGGCAGUGGAUCUAAUAGUGAUUUCACUUUGACCAUCAGUGGAGUCCAGACUGAAGAUGCAGGACAUUAUUACUGUCAGAGUUAUCACAGUGGUCCAGUGUUCACACAGUGAUAAGGAGU
Myxocyprinus asiaticus (Chinese sucker) is the source of this 506-nucleotide non-coding RNA. Lineage: Eukaryota; Metazoa; Chordata; Actinopteri; Cypriniformes; Catostomidae. The record is from the annotation of a RefSeq genome assembly.